This is a non-coding RNA of Struthio camelus australis, 61 nucleotides long. The record is from Rfam. NCBI's taxonomy places the organism in Eukaryota, Metazoa, Chordata, Aves, Struthioniformes, Struthionidae.
CCCCCACCCCGGGAGGCCGAGGUGUCCUACAGAAAAACCUCGGGUCCCACCUGCCGGGGUG